RNAcentral lists this transfer RNA (69 nucleotides) under Allobates amissibilis. RNAcentral's name for it is "tRNA-Asp". Lineage: Eukaryota; Metazoa; Chordata; Amphibia; Anura; Aromobatidae. The record is from RNAcentral.
AAGAAAUUAGUUAAUCAAUAACACUACUUUGUCGGGGUAAAAUCAUGAGCUAAGGCCUCAUAUUUCUUU